ACAUUGUAAUGCCAAUUUUGGCGAGACAGGCAUUUGAAAACUGUCUCACAUGCGCAUAUGAAUCAAAAUGCAGUUAUCCACAAGUAUCUAUAACAUAGCAGGUUACAAAAUCCUCCAUGAAAUGAUAGUUUACAACAUAGAUUGACAAAAUACAACACUUGGAAAAGUUAGAAAACAGUACAAUCCAGUUCACACAAACAGAACAUUUAAACUAUUGAAGUUGCUAUUCAAGUUCUUGCUGUCGCCCCUCUUGAUGGAAAUUAUCAUGUCAGUGCAAAUUGUGAUGGGGCAGCACCAAGUAGCCCGGUACGCAAUCAUACCUAGCAUAUUUACAACACCAUUAGAUAUUUGUAGAUAUGAAUAGAUUGUAAAAAUAAGAGAAUUGAAACAAAUAUAAAAAAUGAAUAACUCAUGCUGUCCAAAAUUCUUAAAUCUUGCACUGCUACAAGUGAGAAUAACAUAGUAUCUACUACAUACAUGUUUCAUGUAGAUCCGUAUUAAUUAAAACAACCAAGUUAUGGGUAAAAAAAUGAAAUGUCAAGUACUUGUGCAUAUCAUCCAAACAAGAAAAACAAAAACACUGGGGGACAAUAUAUACUGCAGUGCAAAAGAUUCAUUCAAUUAUCUUAUGUCCAGUCAUCCUUGAUGAUAAGUUAUUAAUAUAGAAGAAGGGAUAGUUAUGCGCUGAGAAAACAAACAACUACAUACUUCUACAGUUGUGUCCAGUAGUAUAUUAUUUUUCCAUCCUUGUAAGUAGGCAUGAAUCGACUUGUCAAUAUUUGGCAGAACAACACCUUUGGGUACCACCAAUUUGCAAAAAAUAGGUUACCCAACCCCAGAACCUACCCUAUUAUAUAUAGCAUUAAGAAAUUGGGCAUACCCUAAAGAACAAUAUCCACAUAUUGUUGACACUUGACAGUUGACCAAAAAAGAUAUAUAGUGAAAAUAAAACCAAAAGGCUAUGAAAGAGACAGUAAUAGACCUAUCUAAGAAUGUGGACAUUUUGCCCAAGGAUAAAUUUCUCUUGCAACCAUAAGAGAACAUCAACAUACAGCUGAAGAAUUACUAUUUGACAAGAAGCAUUUGACAGGAACAAUAGUAAAUAAAUUAAUAAGUGGUGAUGCAAAAUUACCACCAGCAGUUUGUGAGGUAACACGAUACCAGUGCAGCCUGGAGGAUCGACAUCAUAAGCUUCGCUUACAUGUAGCUAGGGCCACAUCAAUCUCAGCACCAACAUCCAAAGAUCCGCAGUCCCAUCAAAAUGUCCAACCUUAGGCUCCAAUCUGGGUGUUGAGAAAAUUGCAUACAAAAUCUGGGUGUCUAUGAGAUAGACCUGGGCAAAGCAUCCGACAAAACUUAGCACACUGUUAAAACAACUUUUGACAGAGAAUUGAGACAUACAAGAAUUUCAUUGGAGCCCAAAGUGCAAUGACAACACCAAUAUUAUUAUUUGCUGCAAACCAAGAUCAAAUAAUAAGAACACCAAACUUUUCAAACCUGAAGAUUGUUACACUAUUUCAUUAUCUAUGUGUGCCUCUAAAUCUCUAAAGCUAUAGAUUUUACACUAUUUCAUUAUUUCAUUUUAGAGCCUCAAUCAUGUAGAAUGGGACAACUUAUUCAGUGGUAAAUCUUGUGCCCCUCCCUCUAGCUCAGGGAGUAGCUUAUUCAGUGGUAAAGCUGUGUGCCUCUCCCUCUGCCUCUCAACUUUUGUAGAUGGAAGAAAGUUACUUCUAAAUCUUGCCGUGGUAUGUUCAAUCAUAGAAGUUUCACAACACCAUAUACCAACAUAUAUUGUGAAAAUGUGCCUUGACUGUCACAUGCACACACCAAGAAACAUCCAAUAUUAAUUCAGA
This 1853-nucleotide long non-coding RNA is filed under the name Triticum aestivum (bread wheat). Its description in RNAcentral is "long non-coding RNA (TAES_LNC009746)". The record is from RNAcentral. Lineage: Eukaryota; Viridiplantae; Streptophyta; Magnoliopsida; Poales; Poaceae.